AAGUCACGCUUAGCUUCUGCAAGUAUUUGUUUUGCAGUAUUGAAAAACUCCUUCAUGAGGAGGGCACAGAGUUCUGCCUGGAGUGUGAGGCCAGUGUUGCUUGGCUGCAGCUGCCAUUUGCCACUGAUGAUCAUUCUUCUCUUCCCCUGUGAGAGUAAGGAGAGGAUGCAGUCUGAGUGGU
Molecule: small nucleolar RNA, 181 nt
Filed under: Pan troglodytes (chimpanzee)
Lineage: Eukaryota; Metazoa; Chordata; Mammalia; Primates; Hominidae
Description: Small nucleolar RNA U3
Rfam family: Small nucleolar RNA U3
About the family: Small nucleolar RNAs (snoRNAs) are involved in the processing and modification of rRNA in the nucleolus.
Source: Rfam by way of RNAcentral